UAGUGAGUCCGCCAGAUCAGCUGCAGUAGGGAUGCGCGAAUUGAACAAUUUUCCUGUCCUGCUAAUCAUUCAAAAUCUAACGAGUGCUUUUGGGUGUCAGGGAAAAUUUAUGGAGUAGAAAGUACAUUAUUUUCUUUAGGAAUGUAGUGGAGUAAAAGUAGAAGUUGUCAAAAUUAUCAAAAGUUAAGUACAGAUACCCCCAAAAACUACUUACGUAGUACUUAAAAUAUUUGUACUUAAGUACUUUACACCACUGAUUGCAGGGAAUACUGACUGAAGAUGUUCCUCCCUACGAGGCCCAUGAGACUGUGUAGGGAUGUGAUUUGAAGAGAACUGUGACUGAAGGAGUGGGAUGUUUUUAUUUUUGUAUUUUGUUUUGAUGUCGUUGCUUCCGCAAUGGACAUGUAUUUAUUUCUACAGUUUACUAACCGUACAGUAGGUGGAGGCAGACACGUUAUAUUUGUGUAAAUGUCAGUAUACCAGAGAAGAAGAUGACGCUGUUGUACUGUCGUAGAGGGGAACAGGAAGUUCCGGGUGGCAAACGACAGAACUGUGUUGUUAUGUCGAUAUUGGUUGUGUCCGUUUCAACUGUAUUAUUGUAGGCCGACUCAGAUUAAGUCUGAGGCCGGUAACAUCAACAGUGAGGACAAACCCAGCCUGCCACUCUCCUUCCACACUGAGUAGAAACCUACAGUCACUGGGUCCUGAUUGUGACAGUGGAGCCCAGUUUGCACCGCAGGAUCCAGAGAUGGCAUCAGUGAAGCUGGAGGACUGCAGUCAAACACUGGAGCGGAAUGUCAACAUUAAAGAUGAAGAAGAAGAGGAGGAGAAGAUUAGGACAACUGUUAGUCAUUGUAAAAGCUGGUUCUAUCCAUAAGUUAUCUUCAUAUAUUAGACCUCCAUAAGUUAUGACCCAGUCUAUUGCUAGGUUGAAUUCUGUAAUUCUGACAUUACACAUCCCUGAACACCUCAAGACUUCACAGCAAAGCAAAACAUUUUAAAACUUGUAACGCCUGCCUUUUCCCACACAUUGUUUUAAGAACGUUGAAAAUGUUUAAUGCCCUCAAUCACCUUGUUAGGCAUAUCACAUUUCAAAAUAGGCCAUGGCAUCAUUACUGUCAAUAUUGAAUUAUAAUUUGUUUGCUGCACAGAAUAUCAGAUCUCAACAACGAUUGGAGAAGUGAUGAACAUAACCAGUAGACUACCACAUCCUGAUGAUUUAUAUCUCAUACAUAUAUAUUUAAUAUUUUCUAUAUCAAGUUGUAGAAACAUCUCAAGGAUGAUCAAUGGAAACAGGAUGCACCUGAGCUCAAUUCAAAAGUUUGGGGUCACUUAACACCAGUCUCAUCGUCAACAGUGAAGAGGCGACUCCGGGAUGCUGGCCUUCUUGGCAGAGUUGCAAAGGCCAGUUUUAUUGCUUCUUUAAUGAGCACCACAGUUUUCAGCUGUACUAACAUGAAUUCAAAAGGGUUUUCUAAUGAUCAAUUAGCCUUUUAAAAUUAUAAACUUGGAUUAGCUAACACAACAUGCCAUUGGAUCACAGGAGUGAUGGUUGCUGAUAAUGGGCCUCUGUACGCCUAUGUAGAUAUUCCAUAAAAUAUCUGCCGUUUCCAGCUACAAUAGUCAUUUACAACAAUAACAAUGUCUUGACUGUAUUUCUAAUCAAUUUGAUGUUAUUUUAAUGGACAAACAAUGUGCUUUUCUUUCAAAACAAGGACAUUUCUAAGUGACCCCAAACAUUUGAACAGUAGUGGAUAUUUAAUAUUUUAUAUAUCAAGUUGUAGAAACAUCUCAAGGAUGAUCAAUGGAAACAGGAUGCAUCUGAACUCAAUUUUGAGUCUCUUGUUUUAAAAAAAUAAUUAAUUUGCAAAAUUUUCUAAACUUGUUUUAGCUUUGUCAUUAUGGGGUAUUGUUUGUAGAUUGCUGAUGAUAUUUUUGUAUCUAAUUUUAGAAUAAGGCUGUAACAUAACAAAAUGUGGAAAAAGUCAAGGGGUCUGAAUACUUUCCGAGGGCACUGUCAGACCCCUUCCCAUUUUUCCCGUUUUGAUACGUUACAGCCUUAUUCUAAAAUUGAUUACAUGUUUUUCCUCGUCAAUCUACACACAAUACCCCAUAAUGACAAAGCCAAAACAGGUUUUUAGAAAUUCUUGCAAAUGUAAAAAAAAAAUAAUAAUGAUAAGGAUUGCUUAUUUAAGUAAGUUUUCCCAGACCUUUUGCUAUGAGAUGAUCCUUGAGAUGUUUCUACAACAUGGAGUCCACCUGUGAUAAAUUCAAUUGAUUGGACAUGAUUUGGACAGGCACACACCUGUCUAUGUAAGGUCCCACAGUUGACAGUGCAUGUCAGAGUAAAAAACCAAGUCAUGAGGUCGAAGGAUUUGUCCGUAGAGCUCCGUGACAGGAUUGUAUCGGCACAGAUCUGGGGACCGGUACCAAAACAUUUCUGCAGCAUUAAAGGUCCCCAAGAACA
Salvelinus fontinalis (brook trout) is the source of this 2467-nucleotide long non-coding RNA. RefSeq lists it as uncharacterized. Lineage: Eukaryota; Metazoa; Chordata; Actinopteri; Salmoniformes; Salmonidae. The transcript is spliced from 2 exons. The record is from RefSeq and is a predicted model, not a curated record.